This 23-nucleotide non-coding RNA is filed under the name Cricetulus griseus (Chinese hamster). The record is from RNAcentral. Lineage: Eukaryota; Metazoa; Chordata; Mammalia; Rodentia; Cricetidae.
CAGGUUAGGAACUCAAGCAGGAU